CGCGAAAAUGGGGGUGGAUUGGACCCAACUACCACCAGAACUCGCCGAAUCAAUCUCCAAAAAGCUCACAAUCUACGCCGACUACCUCCGAUUCCGAGUUGUGUGUCACAGCUGGCGAGCCUCCGUCCCCAAAACCCCGCACCACCUCCCUCCCCAGCUCCCCUGGCUGAUGCUCCCCCAAUCCCAGCCCAACCAAUCCCACCGGGCCUUCUUCAACCUCUCCAACAGCAGAGUCCACUUCCUCCACCUUCCAGAAGCUUCUCACCGCAAGCGUCGCUGCGGCUCCUCCCACGGAUGGCUCGUCAUCCUCGACGAAACACCCUCCGUCCUCCUCGUUAACCCCCUCACGCGCGCCAGGCGCCACCUCCCUCCGCUCUCCACCUUCCCCGACGUUGUUCGAUUUGAUUACUCUGAAGUUGGCCGAGAAUACGCCCUCCGAUCCCCGUCUGGUGACGUCUACACGCGCAGCCUGACCCAAAUGCGCGAUUCGUUUCUGAAAAAGGUCGUCCUUUC
RNAcentral lists this long non-coding RNA (513 nucleotides) under Malus domestica (apple). RNAcentral describes it as "long non-coding RNA (MDOM_LNC014413)". Lineage: Eukaryota; Viridiplantae; Streptophyta; Magnoliopsida; Rosales; Rosaceae. The record is from RNAcentral.